RNAcentral lists this ribosomal RNA (232 nucleotides) under uncultured bacterium. RNAcentral describes it as "partial 16S ribosomal RNA". It matches the Rfam family "Bacterial small subunit ribosomal RNA", at positions 99 to 334 of the family's 1533-position model. The record is from RNAcentral.
CGGACGGGUGAGUAAUGUAUGGGGAUCUGCCCGAUGGAGGGGGAUAACUACUGGAAACGGUAGCUAAUACCGCAUAACGUCGCAAGGCCAAAGAGGGGGACCUUCGGGCCUCUUGCCAUCGGAUGUGCCCAGAUGGGAUUAGCUAGUAGGUGGGGUAACGGCUCACCUAGGCGACGAUCCCUAGCUGGUCUGAGAGGAUGAUCAGCCACACUGGGACUGAGACACGGCCCAG